GAUGAAGAACGCAGCGAAAUGCGAUAAGUAAUGUGAAUUGCAGAAUUCAGUGAAUCAUCGAAUCUUUGAACGCACAUUGCGCCCCUUGGUAUUCCGAGGGGCAUGCCUGUUCGAGCGUCAUUAUAACCCCUCAAGCUCAGCUUGGUGUUGGGGCCUGCUGCACUGGCAGCCCUUAAAAUCAGUGGCGGCGCCAUCUGGCUCUAAGCGUAGUAAUUCUUCUCGCUAUGGAGUCCUGGUGGAUGCUUGCCAUCAACCCCCAAUUUUUCUAUGGUUGACCUCGGAUCAGGUAGGGAUACCCGCUGAACUUAAGCAUCUCAAUAAGCGGAGGA
This 329-nucleotide unclassified non-coding RNA is filed under the name soil metagenome. Its description in RNAcentral is "partial contains 5.8S ribosomal RNA, internal transcribed spacer 2, and large subunit ribosomal RNA". The stretch from base 1 to 120 matches the Rfam family "5.8S ribosomal RNA", at positions 35 to 154 of the family's 154-position model. The record is from RNAcentral.